RNAcentral lists this unclassified non-coding RNA (231 nucleotides) under plant metagenome. RNAcentral describes it as "partial contains small subunit ribosomal RNA, internal transcribed spacer 1, and 5.8S ribosomal RNA". The record is from RNAcentral.
UCUCCGUUGGUGAACCAGCGGAGGGAUCAUUACUGAGUAUUUUACUCAUAACCUUUGUGAACUUAUCUGUUGCUUUUGGUAGGGAGCUAGGCUAAGUUAUAAACCUAGUCUACUAAUUGUUAAGGCAUAUUGCCCUAUGCCCUACCAAAGAAUUUUAUACACUAUAUUUUUUGUGAUGCUCUGAGUUUUCUAAAAGUUUAUAAACUUUCAGCAACGGAUCUCUUGGUUCUA